RNAcentral lists this non-coding RNA (30 nucleotides) under Homo sapiens (human). The record is from RNAcentral. Lineage: Eukaryota; Metazoa; Chordata; Mammalia; Primates; Hominidae.
UCUCCCUCUGAAAACUGUGUCAUCCUUCAA